RNAcentral lists this ribosomal RNA (252 nucleotides) under uncultured bacterium. RNAcentral describes it as "partial 16S ribosomal RNA". It matches the Rfam family "Bacterial small subunit ribosomal RNA", at positions 524 to 776 of the family's 1533-position model. The record is from RNAcentral.
CACGUAGGCACCAAGCGUUGUCCGGAUUUAUUGGGCGUAAAGCGCGCGCAGGCGGUCAAUUAAGUCUGGUGUUUAAGGCUGGGGCUCAACCCCAGUUCGCACUGGAAACUGGUUGACUUGAGUGCAGAAGAGGAAAGUGGAAUUCCACGUGUAGCGGUGAAAUGCGUAGAGAUCAUGAGGAAGACCAGUGGCGAAGGCGGGUCUCUGGACAGUUCCUGACACUGAGGCACGAAGGCCAGGGGAGCAAACGGG